GCGCCCGUAGCUCAGUGGAUAGAGCGCAACACUCCGGAUGUUGAGGCCGGACGUUCGAGUCGUCUCGGGCGCGCCA
This 76-nucleotide transfer RNA is filed under the name Deltaproteobacteria bacterium. RNAcentral describes it as "tRNA-Arg". It matches the Rfam family "tRNA". From Rfam's summary of the family: Transfer RNA (tRNA) molecules are approximately 80 nucleotides in length. Their secondary structure includes four short double-helical elements and three loops (D, anti-codon, and T loops). The record is from RNAcentral. RNAcentral also lists the same sequence under 2 other names. Lineage: Bacteria; Pseudomonadati; Myxococcota; Myxococcia.